GACGAACGCUGGCGGCGUGCUUAACACAUGCAAGUCGAACGGAAAGGCCCUGCUUUUGUGGGGUGCUCGAGUGGCGAACGGGUGAGUAACACGUGAGUAACCUGCCCUUGACUUUGGGAUAACUUCAGGAAACUGGGGCUAAUACCGGAUAGGAGCUCCUGCUGCAUGGUGGGGGUUGGAAAGUUUCGGCGGUUGGGGAUGGACUCGCGGCUUAUCAGCUUGUUGGUGGGGUAGUGGCUUACCAAGGCUUUGACGGGUAGCCGGCCUGAGAGGGUGACCGGCCGCGGGCGGGCCGGGCUGCCGGCCCACCGUCGUCGGGGCGGGGGCGUUGGGGGUGUGCGGACACGGGUGGGGGGUCUCCGCCGGCUGCGGCGCGUGGGGGGCGUGGCCCUUCGGUGUGUAACCGGGUUGCCCGGUUGCCGAGGGUGGGGUGAGGGUAAGGGUUAGAGAAGCCCCGGCACACUGCGCACCCGCAGCCGGGGUAACACGGGGACUACCACCUGUUUCACC
RNAcentral lists this ribosomal RNA (510 nucleotides) under uncultured bacterium. Its description in RNAcentral is "partial 16S ribosomal RNA". The stretch from base 20 to 333 matches the Rfam family "Bacterial small subunit ribosomal RNA", at positions 47 to 358 of the family's 1533-position model. The record is from RNAcentral.